UGGGGAAUAUUGCACAAUGGGCGGAAGCCUGAUGCAGCAACGCCGCGUGAGUGAUGAAGGCCUUCGGGUUGUAAAGCUCUGUCUUUUGGGACGAUAAUGACGGUACCAAAGGAGGAAGCCACGGCUAACUACGUGCCAGCAGCCGCGGUAAUACGUAGGUGGCAAGCGUUGUCCGGAUUUACUGGGCGUAAAGGAUGCGUAGGCGGAUUUUUAAGUGAGAUGUGAAAACCCUAAGCUUAACUUGGGGACUGCAUUUCAUACUGGAAAUCUAGAGUGCGGGAGAGGAGAAUGGAAUUCCUAGUGUAGCGGUGAAAUGCGUAGAGAUUAGGAAGAACACCAGUGGCGAAGGCGAUUCUCUGGACCGUAACUGACGCUGAGGCAUGAAAGCGUGGGUAGCAAACAGGAUUAGAUACCCUGGUAGUCCACGCCGUAAACGAUGAGUACUAGGUGUAGGAGGUAUCGACCCCUUCUGUGCCGCAGUUAACACAAUAAGUACUCCGCCUGGGAAGUACGAUCGCAAGAUUAAAACUCAAAUGAAUUGACGGGGUCAUAGCUGUUUCCU
RNAcentral lists this ribosomal RNA (562 nucleotides) under uncultured bacterium. Its description in RNAcentral is "partial 16S ribosomal RNA". It matches the Rfam family "Bacterial small subunit ribosomal RNA", at positions 355 to 1375 of the family's 1533-position model. The record is from RNAcentral.